UACGUAGGGCGCAAGCGUUAUCCGGAAUUAUUGGGCGUAAAGAGCUCGUAGGCGGUUUGUCGCGUCUGCCGUGAAAGUCCGGGGCUCAACUCCGGAUCUGCGGUGGGUACGGGCAGACUAGAGUGAUGUAGGGGAGACUGGAAUUCCUGGUGUAGCGGUGAAAUGCGCAGAUAUCAGGAGGAACACCGAUGGCGAAGGCAGGUCUCUGGGCAUUAACUGACGCUGAGGAGCGAAAGCAUGGGGAGCGAAGGGG
This 253-nucleotide ribosomal RNA is filed under the name uncultured bacterium. Its description in RNAcentral is "partial 16S ribosomal RNA". It matches the Rfam family "Bacterial small subunit ribosomal RNA", at positions 524 to 776 of the family's 1533-position model. The record is from RNAcentral.